CUUUGCCCCAUUGCGCGCGUAGAAAACUCAUUCCGCUCCAACAGAUUAAUGUUGGAAGGCCGUUUGUAACGAGGCCCAUUGGCCCACGUAAUUAAAAUUACAACUGAUUUUGUCUUUUUUUUUUUUUUUUUUGCUGGGAAGGCUCUUCGGCAACGGCGUAGAAGACGAUGCGACUGUUGUCGCCGCCGGCGGUAAAUCGAGGCUGCUUGAAUUGAAACUAUGAUGAACUCUGUCUGUCGCUCGUUUUAUCUUUAUAGACGCAGCACCAGAUCCUCCUCCGUCGGCGAGGAAGAUAGUUCGAUCCGAAAGAAGCAAGAGAAUUUUUGAAGUAGUUUUUGGAACUAUUUAUGAUA
Long non-coding RNA from Camelina sativa (false flax), 353 nucleotides. RefSeq lists it as uncharacterized. NCBI's taxonomy places the organism in Eukaryota, Viridiplantae, Streptophyta, Magnoliopsida, Brassicales, Brassicaceae. The record is from RefSeq and is a predicted model, not a curated record.